This 384-nucleotide ribosomal RNA is filed under the name Triticum aestivum (bread wheat). RNAcentral describes it as "partial small subunit ribosomal RNA". The record is from RNAcentral. Lineage: Eukaryota; Viridiplantae; Streptophyta; Magnoliopsida; Poales; Poaceae.
CAAGUGUCCUCGACUGCAACAUGGAGCGGUAGUAGGUCCUCGAUGACAGAAGCACCAGCCGUGCGUAGAUUGGUCAAUGCGCCGUGGUGGAGGAGCAACCUGAUCAUGUCAAUAGAGAAUCUUUCGGCAGCUUCGUGGAGGGGAAAGUAGCCAUACUUGUUCAUACCGUUUGGACUGGCGCGGAAACCUCCGAGCUCGGGAGCCUUGCCCUCCAGGACAAGUUUUGCACACCGCAGGGCAUCAUGAAUAAUAAUCCGGUUGAGGACUUCAGGGAUGAUGAUGAAGCCCCAAGCAAUACAACUCGGGCACACAGCAUACAAGCGGAGGAAGCGCUGGACAUUGUCCUUCUUGAGAAUGGGCAACAGGUGGGGAUACAUCUUGUAG